Manis pentadactyla (Chinese pangolin) is the source of this 852-nucleotide long non-coding RNA. RefSeq lists it as uncharacterized. The record is from RefSeq and is a predicted model, not a curated record. The transcript has 2 exons. NCBI's taxonomy places the organism in Eukaryota, Metazoa, Chordata, Mammalia, Pholidota, Manidae.
UUUAGCUCUGAGAGGUUAAUUGUGAUCAUAGGGGAAACCACACUGUCACCUUCUAAUAGAUGCCAAGGAUUCCAAUUGCUUUGGUAAUAAUCAGGAUGGAUGGCCUUCCUGAAAUGAUGAGCAAAUCAAAACCAUGUGCACACCCAGGGAGGGGGGAGCCUGUCUGCCUGUGCUGCCCUCUCCCUGCCCCUGAACAGACGCUGUGCAGGGACACAGACCUGCUUUGGUCUCUGCUGUACUUGUGCUGAGGACGGUGCUGAACCCAACAGGCAAUCAGGGCCUUUGUCUUGAGUCCACCCAGUUCCCACUGUGAAGCCCUUUUCUGGAAGCUAAUUGGAGCUUUGCUGGCUGCCCUGAUUGCUGUUUUAAAGCAGAGAGGGCAGUUGAAAAGGAGGGAAAUUAUGAAUUGGGUUAAAAAAAAACAUUUUUUGAUGUACUUCUCCAAGCAAGAGGGAAGCAGAAGAACAUGGCCAAGAGGCUCCAUCUGCAAACGGGGGUGAGCUCCGAGCCCCUUUCACCCCACACAGGACAGCAGAGGGCGGCUGGGCCACCUGUGAUCCUUCACUGAUCGGUACUGAAUACUGGCCAGCGGGGUCCUCACAGCCCCUCAGUGUCCGCGGCGCCUCCGCUCGGGUCUGCCAGGGCCUUGGCCUCCCUGGGCUCUGCCAGCACCAGGCACACAGACCCAGGAGGUGGUCACCAUGGAAACAUCAUUACUUCUCUCGCUGAGUGCCGCCCAACCGGUCAGAAACAAAGGGAGGCUCGGUGGAAAUGCACACUGUUCAGCAAAAAAAUCCUGUUCACAGGAGAAUCUACCUGGACAUCUUUAUUAAAUGUUGUAAAUACUGGUUU